UGUUUUUGUUUUAAUACAGGCAGAAAUCAAAUGUUCAGGCAUCAGAGAAGUGAAAUUGACUCAGGGCAUCUGCCUGGAGCAAAAUAAGACCUCCAGCUGGCGGAGUUUAAGAAGGACAGGGGAGAGGGCCUGGCCCGAGUGCUGUGUGGGGAGGAGCAGGCUGAUGCUGAUGCUGGGGCCCAGGUAUGCUCCCUGCUCCUUGCCCAGUCUGAGGUGAGGCCUCAGUGUCUACUGCUGGUCUUGGCCAACAGAACAAAAUUUCCAGCAAACUCCAACUUAUGAAAAAGCACCAAUCUGACCUGAAAAACUGGGGAUCCUAGAUUUCACUGAGCAAGAUGUUGCAAGCCACCAGAGCUAUUCCCAAAAGACCCUGAUUGCACUGGUCACCUCGGGAGCCCUGCUGGCUGUCUUGGGCAUCACUGGCUAUUUCCUGAUGAAUCGCCGCAGCUGGAGCCCCACAGGAGAAAGGCUGGCGAAGACCCUUAUUACACGGAAAACGGUGGAGGCCAGGGCUAUAGCUCAGGACCUGGGACCUCCCCUGAGGCUCAGGGAAAGGCCAGUGUGAACCGAGGGGCU
Molecule: long non-coding RNA, 576 nt
Filed under: Homo sapiens (human)
Lineage: Eukaryota; Metazoa; Chordata; Mammalia; Primates; Hominidae
Description: non-protein coding lnc-PLXNA2-8:1
Source: RNAcentral